This 3800-nucleotide long non-coding RNA is filed under the name Cricetulus griseus (Chinese hamster). RNAcentral's name for it is "lncRNA (ENSCGRG00015041150.1)". Lineage: Eukaryota; Metazoa; Chordata; Mammalia; Rodentia; Cricetidae. The record is from RNAcentral.
UCGAAUGCAAUUUUUUAAAAAUCUUUUAUUUUUUUAUUUUUUUAUUUUUUGCUCAGCAUAUCUGAAUGGCUACCCAGCAGGUACAGUUAGGACAGGACACAAAGGAACAUGAAUGAGCAGGAUCUUGGUGGAUUAUUUUAUCUUGAAUGUCCUUGGAAAGAAGCCAUUAUAAAAUGCUGGUUCUCCUCUGUUUACUGCUCUAGUUGGCAGCAUGAACCUGGGAGAGGGUGCCUGAAAAUGAGGGGGACCUUUUGGGUCAUGCAAUAGCCAGCCAACUCUAUUCAGAGCUUCAGACCACUUAUACUCUAAGGGUUAACAAGAGUCAGUGGAGGAAAGUGUAGAACCAAUCACAAGGACAAGCCACGCAUGGCAAAAACAUGUUUCUCUAAAGAGGCAUAUAAACAAAUAACAAUAGGCAGUUGUAAGGGAUAAUCUGAAGUGAAAUCACUCCUCCCCAUGCACCUGGGAGGACAUGAAAGCACAUUCCAAGAACAACUUAUGCUAUGGAGGAACAGAGAUUACAAGACUCUUGUUUACCUGGAGUUUUCUCACAAGGUCUCAGAAAUCUCCUCCCACAGCUUGGUUCAUGAACCAUGUUCCAACACUCCUCCCUGGUGCUGGUGAGCACAUCUGCUGCAGGGGUAUUAGAAGACAAUGGCUAACAUGGCAUCAAACAGUUCACACCAAAUCUCACCUAGAAUUAGAAACUAAUCCUUUUGGGUUUUGUUUUUGUUUUGAGACAGGGUUUCUCUAUGUAACAGUCCUAGCUAGUUGUCUUGGAACUCACUUUGUAGACUAGGCUGGCUUCAAACUCACUGAGAUCCACCUGCCUCUGCUUCCCAAGUGCUGGGAUUAAAGGUGUGCACCACCAACACCUGGAAAAACUAAUUAUUUGUAUCCAAACUUUGAAACACUUGGAUGAAGCAGGUGAACAAAUUUCUUCCACAGUAGUUUUCCUGUCAGACCUACAGAUGGUCUUUGUGUAAACUUUCUCUCUAGCAGUACUUUCUCAGGUCCCAUCAUAAUGUGGUUAUUCUCCAGGGUCCUGGGGAGCUUGGGUGAGAGAUGCUGAGGCCCAGCCACUGCUACUGAAAAGGGACAUGGCAUAGAGUGAGCACAGUUGGCAGAGCCUCUUCUUGAGCCUGGCUAGAGGUGGGUUAGCAAUUCUGAUGUCAUUCGAGAGAAGACUAUUUGAGGAGGGGACAGGAGUAGUCAUUUACUGCAUGAGCGUUUCAGAAAAGCCGGGAUUCAGUUCUCUUCUUCUACCAUGUGGGUCCCAUAGGCAAAGUUGGGUAAUCGGGCUUGGUAGUAAGCAUCCACUGAGCCAUCUUGAAUGCACUGUAAAUUAUUUUGAGUGACAAUUUAUUCCAUUUCUUGUAGGUAGAGUUUUUCCACUGGACUGCCAGCUCUCAACCACAUAGAGACUUAUUAUUAGUUAUAAAACAAGCUUAGGCUUGUUUUUAGCUAGCUUUUAUAACUUAAAUUAACCAAUUUCUAUUAAUCUAUGUGCUACCCCGAGGCUCAUUUACCUCAUCUAUGUACUUUCCAUGCUGCUUCUACCGAGUCUGGCUAAUCACUCCCCAGACUCCUCCCUUCUUCUCCCCAGAAUUCUCUCUGCCCCCCAAGCCCUGCUACUGGCUGUUUAGCUUUUUAAUAAACCCAAUCAAUGUGACAUAUAUUCACACAGUGUAAAAGAAUAUUCCACAACUUCUUUCAUUUCUCUACUAGAUUGCAAGAUCCUAGAUCUUGAAUCUUACUCUCCUUUGUAGCCUUGACUAUAUGCUCUUUUCUGAUUUUUUUUUUUUUUACUACAGAAGAGAUUUUCUGUAAAUACUAAGUGGGUAGCAUGAAAAUGAUAGUGGGGAAAACAGUGGGCAGAAUUGGAUGUAUAAUUGGUUGGUCACAGUGGGGAGGGGAAAUACGAGAGCAGACAUCUAGGAUUUUAAGAUGGUAAUAGUGGAGCAUCGGUGUCAAUAUAGGGCCCUCUGAGUCCUGUGUCUCUCCACAGCCACACACUCCUGCAGCCCCCUCAGCGGCUGACUUUGACCUCACAACUCCGAAGCACCUGAGUGAUUUAAAAGGCUAGGAUGCAGGGAGACGGCUACCAUGUGAUACCCAGUCAUUCUCCUCCUAGACGAGGGUAUGCUUUGUUGCACAGUUGACCACAUAAGAACUACAUUUCUGAAACUUGAACUCAGUGUUCUCUCUGGCCGAACAGUAGAAAAGAUGUGUGCAGGAUCCAAGUAGAAGAGCCCCUCGGGUGCCGGCUGUUGGUGGCGCACGCCUUUAAUCCCAGUACUCGGGAAGCAGAGGCAGGCGGAUCUCUGUGAGUUCGAGGCCAGCCUGGUCUCCAGAGCGAGUGCCAGGACAGGCUCCAAAGAUACACAGAGAAACCCUGUCUCAAAAAAACCAAAAAAAAAAAAAAAAAAAAAAGAGCCCCUCGGUCCAUCUUCCCAGCUCUGUGAUCCCGUAGCCCAGUUUCAGCCAUAAAAACAUCCUAAGAGACUCAGCGUGCCAGAGCACAGUUGGAAGGGCUCUGGGUCCCUGAGAGGCACGAUGUAUGUGAAACAGACACACUCAGAAACACAGCACACCUCAGAGCAGUGGCUCAAAUCAGUGGGGGGUCCCCUAUCACAGAUUUGUCGACAAAUACAUUGCUGACAAUAAUAUGAUAAAAACAUCUCUUUUCAUUCACCCAGCAGCCAGUCACAUGGCCCUCUAGACCAGUGGUUCUCAACCUCCCUAAUGCUGCAACCAUUUAACAUGGUUCCUUAUGUUGUGGUGACCCCCCCAACCAUAAAGUUGAAAUAUCAUUGCUACUUCAUAGCUGUAAUUUUGCUACUGUUUAUGAGCCAUAAUGUAAAUAUCUGUGUUUUCUGAUGGUCUUCAGUGAUUCCCGUAAAGGGUCCAAUGGGGUCAUGACCACAGGUUGAGCAACACUUCUCUACACUCAGCCAAAGCAGGAACAUGCCUGCAGGUCUCUGAGUAUGACAGAAAUAGACUUAAGGUCAGGUCCAAAGAAGGAGCUUGGGUUAGCAAGGGAGUGAACCACGCUCAGGCCUGAUCUAAAUCUGCUCCCUCCCAAGAAACUCAAUGGUUCUCAACUUGUAUGUCUUGGCCCAUUGGACCCUUCCCAGGGGUCACGUGAGACCAUCAGGAAACACAGACUUUUUGCAUUAUGAUUCAUAACAAAAGUUGGGAGGUCACCACAACACGAGGAAGUGUAUUAAAGGGUCGAAGCAUUAGGAAGGUUGAGAAGCGCUGAGUUAAAUUAAGCUUGCCUUACCCUAAAUUGACCUAGUAAGAUAAUAUAGUCUUAAAACUAGUGGCUGAAACCUGGCUAAUCAUGAGUUUUCUGCAAGCCACAGACUACAAACUAAGGAAAUAUGUUCAUUUAAGACACAUACCAAACUGCACGCUAUCUCUGUCCUUCAGCAGCAUCUUCUGACUGUGUGAUAGAGUUCUCUGGAUCUCCUUCACCACAAGUACCAUCUGCUUUGUCAGUCUGUCCCCUGCUCAGAUAAUCCCUCUUGAAUGUGUCUAACAUUUUUCUUCCUAAGAGAUAGAAGUCAGAAGUGAGAUCUCAAGCAGAAUUCCAGGAGUGCUGGUGACUCAACAGAGCUGCCUGGUCAGGGCCCAUUGUGCCCUUGGCCUCUCCCAGCCACUGGAGGUCAGGGGUCUCCUGCUGGUGAAACUAGCAGUGGCUCUUGAAGUCCUGAUGAACAAUUCAAGAUUAAAUCAAGCACUAUGGCAACUGCUGCAAUCCACAGGAUCUUACCAUGAAGCUCAGGCUGUCCUGG